UGGUGCAGUAGGUAACGUGUCAGUCUCGCAAGCUGAAGGUCCUGAGUUCGAUUCUCGG
RNAcentral lists this transfer RNA (58 nucleotides) under Monodelphis domestica (gray short-tailed opossum). It matches the Rfam family "tRNA", at positions 8 to 63 of the family's 71-position model. From Rfam's summary of the family: Transfer RNA (tRNA) molecules are approximately 80 nucleotides in length. Their secondary structure includes four short double-helical elements and three loops (D, anti-codon, and T loops). Further hydrogen bonds mediate the characteristic L-shaped molecular structure. tRNAs have two regions of fundamental functional importance: the anti-codon, which is responsible for specific mRNA codon recognition, and the 3' end, to which the tRNAs corresponding amino acid is attached (by aminoacyl-tRNA synthetases). tRNAs cope with the degeneracy of the genetic code in two manners: having more than one tRNA (with a specific anti-codon) for a particular amino acid; and 'wobble' base-pairing, i.e. permitting non-standard base-pairing at the 3rd anti-codon position. Lineage: Eukaryota; Metazoa; Chordata; Mammalia; Didelphimorphia; Didelphidae. The record is from Rfam by way of RNAcentral.